CCUACGGGUGGCAGCAGUGGGGAAUAUUGCACAAUGGGCGAAAGCCUGAUGCAGCAACGCCGCGUGAAGGAAGAAGGCUUUCGGGUCGUAAACUUCUUUUCUUGGGGAAGAAGAACUGACGGUACCCACGGAGAAAGCCCCGGUCAACUAAGUCCCAGCAGGCGCGGGAAUAAGUAGGGGGAAAGGUUUAUCCGGAUUUAUUGGGGGAAAGGAGUGCGAAGGGGGGAACCUAAGCGGAGGGUAAAAGGGAGGGGCUAAACCAUGGUGCGCACUGGAAACUGGGAUGCUUGAGUGCAGGAGAGGAAAGCGGAAUUCCGGGUGUAGCGGUGAAAUGCGUAGAUAUUAGGAGGAACACCAGUGGCGAAGGCGGCUUGCUGGACUGUAACUGACGCUGAGGCACGAAAGCGUGGGGAGCAAACAGGAUUAGAUACCCGAGUAGUC
RNAcentral lists this ribosomal RNA (441 nucleotides) under uncultured bacterium. RNAcentral describes it as "partial 16S ribosomal RNA". It matches the Rfam family "Bacterial small subunit ribosomal RNA", at positions 338 to 795 of the family's 1533-position model. The record is from RNAcentral.